UGAACGCCUCUAAGUCAGAAUCCAUGGUGGAAGGCUCGGCAUUUAUGUCUCCGGACGAUACACGCUAACGAUAACUUUGUCGAGAGCGCUAUUCACCGAAAUUCCGAUUGUACGGAGACGUGAAUCCCUUGUAGACGACUUGGAUACGCCACAGGGUGAUGUAAGGUGUAGAGCAUCCUUGCUGAUGCGAUCAUCUGAGUCUCA
This 204-nucleotide ribosomal RNA is filed under the name Diacronema lutheri. RNAcentral's name for it is "partial Eukaryotic large subunit ribosomal RNA". It matches the Rfam family "Eukaryotic large subunit ribosomal RNA", at positions 3121 to 3380 of the family's 3401-position model. Lineage: Eukaryota; Haptophyta; Pavlovophyceae; Pavlovales; Pavlovaceae. The record is from RNAcentral.